CCUACGGGAGGCAGCAGUGGGGAAUUUUGGACAAUGGGCGCAAGCCUGAUCCAGCCAUGCCGCGUGCAGGAUGAAGGCCUUCGGGUUGUAAACUGCUUUUGUACGGAACGAAAAGACUCUGGUUAAUACCUGGGGUCCAUGACGGUACCGUAAGAAUAAGCACCGGCUAACUACGUGCCAGCAGCCGCGGUAAUACGUAGGGUGCGAGCGUUAAUCGGAAUUACUGGGCGUAAAGCGUGCGCAGGCGGUUAUAUAAGACAGAUGUGAAAUCCCCGGGCUCAACCUGGGAACUGCAUUUGUGACUGUAUAGCUAGAGUACGGCAGAGGGGGAUGGAAUUCCGCGUGUAGCAGUGAAAUGCGUAGAUAUGCGGAGGAACACCGAUGGCGAAGGCAAUCCCCUGGGCCUGUACUGACGCUCAUGCACGAAAGCGUGGGGAGCAAACAGGAUUAGAUACCCUGGUAGUCCACGCCCUAAACGAUGUCAACUGGUUGUUGGGUCUUCACUGACUCAGUAACGAAGCUAACGCGUGAAGUUGACCGCCUGGGGUAAGGUACGGCCGCGAGUAGUUAAACGUUAAAGGUAAGUUAGACGGCGUGAGACGNGCCGACGGACGACGACGAGGGAGGAGG
Molecule: ribosomal RNA, 630 nt
Filed under: uncultured bacterium
Lineage: Bacteria
Description: bacterial SSU rRNA
Rfam family: Bacterial small subunit ribosomal RNA (bases 1-542)
Source: RNAcentral